RNAcentral lists this ribosomal RNA (2014 nucleotides) under Escherichia coli. Its description in RNAcentral is "bacterial LSU rRNA". It matches the Rfam family "Bacterial large subunit ribosomal RNA", at positions 823 to 2819 of the family's 2925-position model. The record is from RNAcentral. Lineage: Bacteria; Pseudomonadati; Pseudomonadota; Gammaproteobacteria; Enterobacterales; Enterobacteriaceae.
GAAAGGCCAAUCAAACCGGGAGAUAGCUGGUUCUCCCCGAAAGCUAUUUAGGUAGCGCCUCGUGAAUUCAUCUCCGGGGGUAGAGCACUGUUUCGGCAAGGGGGUCAUCCCGACUUACCAACCCGAUGCAAACUGCGAAUACCGGAGAAUGUUAUCGCGGGAGACACACGGCGGGUGCUAACGUCCGUCGUGAAGAGGGAAACAACCCAGACCGCCAGCUAAGGUCCCAAAGUCAUGGUUAAGUGGGAAACGAUGUGGGAAGGCCCAGACAGCCAGGAUGUUGGCUUAGAAGCAGCCAUCAUUUAAAGAAAGCGUAAUAGCUCACUGGUCGAGUCGGCCUGCGCGGAAGAUGUAACGGGGCUAAACCAUGCACCGAAGCUGCGGCAGCGACGCUUAUGCGUUGUUGGGUAGGGGAGCGUUCUGUAAGCCUGUGAAGGUGUGCUGUGAGGCAUGCUGGAGGUAUCAGAAGUGCGAAUGCUGACAUAAGUAACGAUAAAGCGGGUGAAAAGCCCGCUCGCCGGAAGACCAAGGGUUCCUGUCCAACGUUAAUCGGGGCAGGGUGAGUCGACCCCUAAGGCGAGGCCGAAAGGCGUAGUCGAUGGGAAACAGGUUAAUAUUCCUGUACUUGGUGUUACUGCGAAGGGGGGACGGAGAAGGCUAUGUUGGCCGGGCGACGGUUGUCCCGGUUUAAGCGUGUAGGCUGGUUUUCCAGGCAAAUCCGGAAAAUCAAGGCUGAGGCGUGAUGACGAGGCACUACGGUGCUGAAGCAACAAAUGCCCUGCUUCCAGGAAAAGCCUCUAAGCAUCAGGUAACAUCAAAUCGUACCCCAAACCGACACAGGUGGUCAGGUAGAGAAUACCAAGGCGCUUGAGAGAACUCGGGUGAAGGAACUAGGCAAAAUGGUGCCGUAACUUCGGGAGAAGGCACGCUGAUAUGUAGGUGAAGUCCCUCGCGGAUGGAGCUGAAAUCAGUCGAAGAUACCAGCUGGCUGCAACUGUUUAUUAAAAACACAGCACUGUGCAAACACGAAAGUGGACGUAUACGGUGUGACGCCUGCCCGGUGCCGGAAGGUUAAUUGAUGGGGUUAGCGCAAGCGAAGCUCUUGAUCGAAGCCCCGGUAAACGGCGGCCGUAACUAUAACGGUCCUAAGGUAGCGAAAUUCCUUGUCGGGUAAGUUCCGACCUGCACGAAUGGCGUAAUGAUGGCCAGGCUGUCUCCACCCGAGACUCAGUGAAAUUGAACUCGCUGUGAAGAUGCAGUGUACCCGCGGCAAGACGGAAAGACCCCGUGAACCUUUACUAUAGCUUGACACUGAACAUUGAGCCUUGAUGUGUAGGAUAGGUGGGAGGCUUGGAAGUGUGGACGCCAGUCUGCAUGGAGCCGACCUUGAAAUACCACCCUUUAAUGUUUGAUGUUCUAACGUUGACCCGUAAUCCGGGUUGCGGACAGUGUCUGGUGGGUAGUUUGACUGGGGCGGUCUCCUCCUAAAGAGUAACGGAGGAGCACGAAGGUUGGCUAAUCCUGGUCGGACAUCAGGAGGUUAGUGCAAUGGCAUAAGCCAGCUUGACUGCGAGCGUGACGGCGCGAGCAGGUGCGAAAGCAGGUCAUAGUGAUCCGGUGGUUCUGAAUGGAAGGGCCAUCGCUCAACGGAUAAAAGGUACUCCGGGGAUAACAGGCUGAUACCGCCCAAGAGUUCAUAUCGACGGCGGUGUUUGGCACCUCGAUGUCGGCUCAUCACAUCCUGGGGCUGAAGUAGGUCCCAAGGGUAUGGCUGUUCGCCAUUUAAAGUGGUACGCGAGCUGGGUUUAGAACGUCGUGAGACAGUUCGGUCCCUAUCUGCCGUGGGCGCUGGAGAACUGAGGGGGGCUGCUCCUAGUACGAGAGGACCGGAGUGGACGCAUCACUGGUGUUCGGGUUGUCAUGCCAAUGGCACUGCCCGGUAGCUAAAUGCGGAAGAGAUAAGUGCUGAAAGCAUCUAAGCACGAAACUUGCCCCGAGAUGAGUUCUCCCUGAC